GAGUUUGAUCGUGGCUCAGAACGAACGCUGGCGGCAUGCCUAACACAUGCAAGUCGAACGAAGUCUUCGGACUUAGUGGCGCACGGGUGCGUAACGCGUGGGAAUCUGCCCUUGGGUACGGAAUAACUCAGAGAAAUUUGUGCUAAUACCGUAUAAUGUCUUCGGACCAAAGAUUUAUCGCCCAAGGAUGAGCCCGCGUAAGAUUAGCUAGUUGGUGAGGUAAGAGCUCACCAGGGCGACGAUCUUUAGCUGGUCUGAGAGGAUGAUCAGCCACACUGGGACUGAGACACGGCCCAGACUCCUACGGGAGGCAGCAGUGGGGAAUAUUGGACAAUGGGCGAAAGCCUGAUCCAGCAAUGCCGCGUGAGUGAUGAAGGCCUUAGGGUUGUAAAGCUCUUUUACCCGGGAUGAUAAUGACAGUACCGGGAGAAUAAGCUCCGGCUAACUCCGUGCCAGCAGCCGCCGU
This 466-nucleotide ribosomal RNA is filed under the name uncultured microorganism. Its description in RNAcentral is "bacterial SSU rRNA". It matches the Rfam family "Bacterial small subunit ribosomal RNA", at positions 9 to 521 of the family's 1533-position model. The record is from RNAcentral.